Molecule: ribosomal RNA, 859 nt
Filed under: uncultured bacterium
Lineage: Bacteria
Description: bacterial SSU rRNA
Rfam family: Bacterial small subunit ribosomal RNA
Source: RNAcentral
UGCGGCGUGCCUAACACAUGCAAGUCGAACGGAGCUCUUAAGGAAUGCGACUUCGGUCAAAUGACUUUUGAACUUAGUGGCGGACGGGUGAGUAACGCGUGAGCAACCUGCCUUUCAGAGGGGGAUAACAUUUGGAAACAGAUGCUAAUACCGCAUAAGAUUACAGUACCGCAUGAUACAGUGAUCAAAGGAGCAAUCCGCUGAAAGAUGGGCUCGCGUCCGAUUAGAUAGUUGGUGAGGUAACGGCUCACCAAGUCGACGAUCGGUAGCCGGACUGAGAGGUUGAACGGCCACAUUGGGACUGAGACACGGCCCAGACUCCUACGGGAGGCAGCAGUGGGGAAUAUUGCACAAUGGGCGAAAGCCUGAUGCAGCAACGCCGCGUGAGGGAAGACGGUUUUCGGAUUGUAAACCUCUGUUCUCGGUGACGAACAAAUGACGGUAACCGAGUAGGAAGCCACGGCUAACUACGUGCCAGCAGCCGCGGUAAUACGUAGGUGGCAAGCGUUAUCCGGAAUUACUGGGUGUAAAGGGAGCGCAGGCGGGAUAGCAAGUCAGCUGUGAAAACUAUGGGCUCAACCCAUAAACUGCAGUUGAAACUGUUAUUCUUGAGUGGAGUAGAGGCAAGCGGAAUUCCGAGUGUAGCGGUGAAAUGCGUAGAUAUUCGGAGGAACACCAGUGGCGAAGGCGGCUUGCUGGGCUCUAACUGACGCUGAGGCUCGAAAGUGUGGGGAGCAAACAGGAUUAGAUACCCUGGUAGUCCACACUGUAAACGAUGAUUGCUAGGUGUGGGGGGUCUGACCCCCUCCGUGCCGGAGUUAACGCAAUAAGCAAUCCACCUGGGGAGUACGGCCGCAAG